RNAcentral lists this long non-coding RNA (1232 nucleotides) under Physcomitrium patens. Its description in RNAcentral is "long non-coding RNA (PPAT_LNC013198)". The record is from RNAcentral. Lineage: Eukaryota; Viridiplantae; Streptophyta; Bryopsida; Funariales; Funariaceae.
UUUUUCCAUCCAUUCGGAGCACUUUGCUGACGAGCUUCCAAGUGUAAGAGCCAGAAAAGGAGCCGACAAAUGGCGGCCUUGCUUCGGCAAGCCAGGUUUGCCUACACCGUUACGCGCAGCCCCUCAAAUUCGUCCUCAGCGUGCUCACGAGCAGUUGGUAACACGAGCAACUCAAAGAUCUAGACACAAUCUCAAUCAGCGAUUCUAGACCCAUCGUCUGAGAGGGCUAAAACCCACCAGCGGCUAUGGCGGCUCGAGAGGAGGGUAAGCAAAGCGCAGCGCGAUGUGGCGACAUCCUUUACAAUCUAGAGAUUCCGUAGUGGAUGUCCACGACCAUUGUUAUAAUGAAAACAAUAUCAAUCGAUGGUAGCGCACUUAUCUUUGGAUUUGAAGCUGGGUCCCCCACCCCAUUGAAUGAGCGUCGCGAUCAGUGCCGCCACAUCUUCGAAUCAGCUCUCUCUCACACCUUUCCGCUUGGUCCUCACUGAUUAUUCCAACACGCCGUGACUGCAUUCAAUGCUGGUGCCCACAGGCUUCCAUCUCCUGUGGACCUUACCAUCGCGGCCACUAUUCUCCGUCUCCACAUCUGUAUUUUCAAGGCGAUCGGGUUGGGAGAGAGAAGCUUUUUGUUGAAUUCGUGGUUGGCCUCGUCGUCGCGAUGUCCACUGUGGCAGCUUCGUCGAGUCCAUGUCAGACCUUAUUUUGACGUUGGACAUCGGAUUGGUGGGCUAUGUUUGUGUGGCAGUUCAUUCAACUUACAUUUUCAAAUUUUUAAUAUAAUGUCAAACAAGUUGGUAGAAUAUCAUUUGCAUGAUUAUAGUAUAUUUGUGGGCAACAAUUGAGUAGUGGGGAAGAAUUGCGAGCCUUUGUCUUUCCUUUGAAUAAAUGAUUUUAUUUUAAAAUUCGAUCUCAUGUGGAUAAUUUUAGACUUGAAUUUUGGUGGUUGUGGUUACUAUUGACAUUGCAAUUCCAUACUAUUUUCAGGAUCUGAGAUUUUUCACUAAGGCUCCUCUCAUAGUUGGAUUCUUCUUAAACUAUCUUUCUAUUGACCUUUUUGGAGAUUGAUUCUUAAUAAUCCUUGUACUAUUGUAUACUAAUUAAUGUUUAACAAAUAAUUGACUAGCUUUAAAGGAGGCACUGAUAUGAAAUUAAUAGUAGAAAUAGUCACUAUUCAAAUAUUUUUAGUUGGAUUGUAACUGAAUAAAAAAACAACAUAGGCUAAAUAUUUAAUU